RNAcentral lists this transfer RNA (77 nucleotides) under Chloroflexota bacterium. RNAcentral's name for it is "Chloroflexi bacterium (freshwater metagenome) tRNA-Pro". It matches the Rfam family "tRNA". Rfam says of the family: Transfer RNA (tRNA) molecules are approximately 80 nucleotides in length. Their secondary structure includes four short double-helical elements and three loops (D, anti-codon, and T loops). Further hydrogen bonds mediate the characteristic L-shaped molecular structure. tRNAs have two regions of fundamental functional importance: the anti-codon, which is responsible for specific mRNA codon recognition, and the 3' end, to which the tRNAs corresponding amino acid is attached (by aminoacyl-tRNA synthetases). tRNAs cope with the degeneracy of the genetic code in two manners: having more than one tRNA (with a specific anti-codon) for a particular amino acid; and 'wobble' base-pairing, i.e. permitting non-standard base-pairing at the 3rd anti-codon position. Lineage: Bacteria; Bacillati; Chloroflexota. The record is from RNAcentral. RNAcentral also lists the same sequence under 1 other name.
CGGGGCGUAGCGCAGCCUGGUAGCGCGCAGCGUUCGGGACGCUGAGGUCGGAGGUUCGAACCCUCUCGCCCCGACCA